UCAAGGUUAGGUGUUGAUCCAAAUUAAAGAAAAAUGGAACCAGUUUAAGUAAUUGAUAGUUUCAUCAUUUACAUUGAAAAAAGGCAAGAAUAAGUUAUAGUCAAGGUUAGGUGUUGAUCCAAAUUAAAGAAAAGGGUCAACUCUGUAUGCUAUGUGACAUGUAAUAAUCUCGUGCGUACGAUUUUCUACUAUCUACUCCACCAAUAUAAAAUAAAAUAAUAUCCUCAAAUUUUUUCUUUUUGCUAAAUUUGUUUGUGCAUUCAAGUGAAUUAUAAAUAAAAUGGCUUAGGGUAUAUAUACUGUGACACCCCAAAUCCGAGUAUUCUUACCCUCAGAUAUUUAGUGUUCACGAUCAUCUACAUUCGAUAACCUGUAUUAUUACAAAAAUUCUUACAAAAUAUAAUAUAUACAUCAAUGUUGUCUAACCUUUAACAUUACAUAACAUGAUACCCAAAAAUAUUACAUCACAUCCAAAAAUAUCUAUUUACAUAGCUAUUUAAUAUAUAUUACAAAGGUUAUAGCUAACAAUACGAUUACUCCUGCAAUUUUCCUUUUCCCUUGUCGGAUGACGACCCUCCAGCCUUUUCAUUUUUAACUGAAAUUCAUUUAGCAAGAAUAAGCAAUAAAAUUGCCCAGCAAGUAAUACUUAUUUAAGUGAAAUAGUUAAUAAGAAAACAAAUAAUAGCUUAAUAACUGAAAAGAGUAUUGUUUGAAUAAAAUCAAGCUGUGACUACGGAGUUAUGUAAAUUCUUUAGAAUAAAGGAAUUUUAAAUGCAAAGAUUAGCAAUAAAAGAUUUAAUUAAGUAAUUGAGGGUCACAAGACCACUGAACUAUGUCCAAGGGUUCAGGUAUCUCUACCUUAACCUUUAUCCGUCAAAGACUGUGGACAACCAUCUUCGUAUGCAGGGGAUCAACCCUUUGUACCUAUGUAUUGUGCACAAACAUAUUAACGCAAUAGCGUAAUUCGGAACCAUAGUCUUCGAUAACAUGUUCCCUAUUUAAAGGGUUGUUCAACUCAGUCUAUCACAUGAGUUCUUAUUAGAAGAAUUCUGAUGAAUAUAACUUCUUGGCGAAUCUUAGAACAUUUAUCAAUUAUGGUCUAGCCGAACUCAAAUGACAUAGACUUACAAUACAAAUUCAUAUAUCAAAGAAAGCUUCAAUAACAUUUGAAUAAUAAUUUCAUAGGAAAGUUACUAAUUGAAGAUGCCAAAUAUUCAUUUCAAGCUUAACAAGAACCUUUGUUCAAGAUUUAUAACUUAGAAAGGAAAGUUAGUAUACUUACCUUCGCGUCGAAAUGUUAUCGAUUCAACUCGUGGUUGUGUGCUCGAGACGGUAUUAUCUAGUACCACACCUAUGUAAUACACAAAAGAUUACUAUAUGGCUUAACACUAAUAUAUUUCAUAAACGUACGUUAAUCUGAACUCAAAUUUUCAAACUUAACAUUCUAACCUUAACUCCCCCCCAUGUGAAUGAACUUGUCAUAUAUAUACAUAACACAAGUUUUUUAUUAUUUUUCAACCAUUUAAUAGCUUAACAUACCUAUUUUCCUGUAAUUAUAUUCAACUCAACUUAUUUAGUUCAUACUAUUUGUUUUAUUAACUUUAGGAUGUAGCUAGAACCAUUCAUAGUUACUACAUCUAAACAUAUUAUGCUUUUAGCUUUACAAUGUAAUUUAAACCAUUCAUAGCUCAAUAUAUAUAAUUAUAUCAAGCCUUUAGCUUAAACUUGCUUUUAAAUGAUUUAUUUCUAAUUUUAUUCAAUUAUUGAAUUUAUUUAUGAUUUUAUAUACUAAUUAUAGACAAUGUAUUAAUUCUUAUGUAAUUUGUUGUCUCAUUAACACCUCACAUGAGUUAGCAUCAAAAGCAUUAAAACAGCCUAGCCGCCCAACCAUUUGCCCAGCUAAACUGCUGCAGCGCAGCGCUCGCGCCCCUGCUGCUGCUGCCUGCUGUAGUGGCAGCCCUCGACUAACAUAGCCACUUUGCACAUUUUUAACUUUUAAAUCAUAAAUUUGAUUGCAACCAAAUUUGAGUAUGUAAUAGAAAGCAUAACAUAGUAUUUUUUAAAAAUAUAUAAACCAUCCAAAUUGGACAUUCCAGACUAGUUUAAUAAAGGCCCGAAACUGCUCUGUUAAAGCAGUUUCUUAACUGAGCUUGAACUAGUUAUUUUUCCCAAAACAGGUUUCUACCCUUUUAAACUUACAAAUACCACUCCAUUUACUUAACAUAGUAUGCUUACAGAGUUCUUGACUUCAAACUUUAUUUAAUAUCAGUAUUUAAGCUAAGCAGCCCCUAUUAGGACUUUUAACAAACAUCAUAUGUGCAACCAGUUUUGGAACUGAUUUCAUAGGAGUUUAUACUUAUUCAAACCCAAAUUUUUCCUCCCUUAUUACUCCGCACAACAACUAGUCUCAUUUUUGCUAACUCAAAGAUAUUGCAGCCACAAAUCAUAUUGUAUCACAUAUAACUAACUAAUUGUUAUAAACUUUUUAUAAAACUUAUACUUACCUUACCACUUCUUGAAUUCAAUUAUGCUUUGAGCUGGAAAUGGACAGCUCUAAUAUCUCCUUGAUGUCUUCAAGUCCUUCCCAAUUCAAAAUUAUAACUUCACCAUCUUUGUACACUUGAAAGUGCAGCCAAAACUAAGGAAUUUGGAAAAGAUUUAAGAAUAGUAGAACUCGGAAUUGAAAGAGAAAGGGAGCAGGUAUGGAAAGUGCGAAUUUUGCUAAGGAAACUGAUUAGGAUCUUGAUUCAGUUAAUAAUAAACAUGGCUUGCUUAGUGGCUGUCUUAAUAUCUCAGCUUUUGCCAGCUCCAACUUACAUUGCUUAGUGGUUGGUUUAAAUAUUUCUUAAACUGCCACCUCCUUCUUACCAAGUGAUUCAUCAGUUUCCACUCUUGGCUUUCUCUUAAUACCA
This 2912-nucleotide long non-coding RNA is filed under the name Panax ginseng (ginseng). Its description in RNAcentral is "long non-coding RNA (PGIN_LNC011317)". Lineage: Eukaryota; Viridiplantae; Streptophyta; Magnoliopsida; Apiales; Araliaceae. The record is from RNAcentral.